Molecule: long non-coding RNA, 3163 nt
Organism: Ahaetulla prasina
Lineage: Eukaryota; Metazoa; Chordata; Lepidosauria; Squamata; Colubridae
Exons: 5
Source: RefSeq, a predicted model, not a curated record
AUCAGAGCUCGGAAACACGUCCUUACCUGGCGCUAACGCGAGGGCGGGAUGCCGGCCAGCCAAUGGCCGGAGGGAAACUCGAGAAGGGGAGGAGGAGACUCACCUGCCCACCAAUAGGGUGCCGCGAAGAGAGAUGAUUUUGCCUAGCAACGAAGAGAACAGGGAGGGCCUGAGGUAAAAAGGAAAAGAAAAAAAAAGCGCGGGCGAAAGUCGAAGUCCAAACUUUCCAGGUGGGCGGAAGCAUCUUGAUGUGACUUUUCUACCUCAAAAUUAUAUAUUAAGCCUCUUGAUAAAGAAAAGUGGAGUUUAUAAAAGUCUUUUGCAGGAUCAAAGUUACAACAGAGAAGGAAGAAAGGAAGAGGAAAAAGAAAUAUACAGGAAUUCUUCGAUUUAGGACUACAAUCGAGCCGGACAUUUCCGUUGCUAAGCGAGACAUUUUGAGUUUUGCCCCAUUUUACCACCUUUCUUGCCACCGUUGUUAAGUGAAUCGCUGCAGUUCUUUGAUUAACAAUAUGGUUGUUAAGCGUUUCCCCAUUGACUCUGCUUGUUGGAAAGAUAGUCACAUGACCUUGGGAUGCAGUAACGGUCGUAAGUAUGAACCAGUUGCCAAGCAUUCUGAAUUUUGAUCACACGACCUAGGGGCUGCUGAUCAUAAGUGUGAAAAAUGGUCAUAAAUCACUUUUUUCGUUGCUAUUGUAACUUUGAACAGUGACUAACAUACAUUUGUAAGUCGAGGACAACCUGAAAUCCUAAGAUUUGACUUUAAAAACAACAACAAAUCUCAAUAUAUUUUAUAUUUUCUUUUCCUCCAUAAAGUUGCAGGGUUCAGGGUUAACUUCUUUGUUUCCUUUGUACUCUUAUAAGAGAAUUGAAGGUAUUGAAAUAGAACCAUGUGAAACAAAAGCUGCUCUAUUUUCUCUUCAGUCACAUUCUGGACUAAGUUUUAGCAAAGGAUUGUGCAACAGAUAUAAGAAAUGAACUAUGGUUCACUGAAUUAAUUCAAUGGCUCACGUUCAUGCAACAUGCUACAACAUUUUUUUUUUAAAUUUACAUUUAUAUCCCGCCCUUCUCCGAAGACUCAGGGCGGAUUACACUAUGUCAAGCAAUAGUCUUCAUCCAUUUGUAUAUUAUAUACAAAGUCAACUUAUUGCCCCCAACAAUCUGGGUCCUCAUUUUACCUACCUUAUAAGGAUGGAAGGCUGAGUCAACCUUGGGCCUGGUGGGACUCGAGCCUGCAGUAAUUGCAGGCUGCUGUGUUUUAAUAACAGGCUAUCUUACAAAACUUAGCUGGAUUUGCACAACACACUGGGCCAUAAAGCAGCCAACCGCAGUUUAGCACUCCAUUCUGUAACCCAGCCAUCAUAUGAUUUCCUUAAUCAUCUCAACACAAUCAAUUAUGGCUUAUGAGCAAACCAUGGUUUAACAAAAUGUGCAAGUUAAGUGUUUUUUCUAUCAGGGCAACCUGGUCUACCCAAAUACAGGACGGAGCCUACUGCUUCCGCUUUUGCCUUUCAGCCCCAAUCCAGGAGCCUUCACAGGCUGCUGCUUUUGCGACAAACUGCUUUUGUGUUGAAUUUAUAUUUCCCGACAAAAGAAAUAAAGGGAGACUAGUAUAGAUCUAUUUCAAGCUAUUUUGCUGUCAUCCGCUAGCCAUACCCUUCUGGGAUUCAAACCCAGGCUGCUUUCAUAUUAGGUAGAUGUAUUAAUCUCUAAGCCAAUGUGCAAGUCUGUUCGUAUUCUUACAAUAACAGAAAAUCAUCUUAAGGUAGCUUCAAAAGUAAAGUUUUAUGGUAUGAGCUACAAAAACGUAGUCUUUUGUUUUAUUUUAGGCCAAACACAAUCUCAGAUUUCCAUAUAGAAGGCACAUAUAUGGUAUUGUUUUCUUCCAGCAGAGGGCAAGAGAACAUUAGCUAAAUGUUAGUGGGAAAAGUGUUUCAGCCAAUCAUCUGAUUCAGUUCUGUUUUUGAAUUUCAGGGGGUAUUAUGGAAAAAAAGCAAAAGAUAAGAGAAAUGAAUUAUUGAGUCCAGGAAAUGUCUUCACAGGUUCCACCAAACUAGAAUCUAGAAGGACAGGUCAGCAUUGAAAUGGGCAAAGGCGUAUUCCACCAGUGCAGCGAAGACAAAGACAUAACAGAUCCAGAAGUAGACGUCCAACGCUUUUAUGGCCGAAGCCCUAGGAAGAGAAGAACGAGCGCUCACCAUCAGGGUGGUCAUGUUUUCCAAAGAAACUUGAUUCAAAAGCACGGCGAAAGCACUCGAAGUCAUUUCCCUUCUUUUCCCCCAGCUUGCGUGAUUUGUGCGUUUGAACUCACAGCUCUCCAAAUCCAGCAUACAUUCCUGCUCAUCCAUUGGAUACUUGGUGAGAUCCAUAUCACAGGCCACCGUAGAGGUAAUCCUGCACCAAACCAAGAAAGAGCAAAACACACAACUCUUACAUUCAAGCACCUUUCUGCUUACCCUGCAUGCUUACAGUGGUGGCCAAACUUGUGGAAACCUUUUGAGAAAAGUAUAUUUUUGAGGUUUGAUGGCUAAUAACACCACUUUUUUUUUUUUGAGUUUCAAGAUAAUCAUAGUCCACUGCUGGAAUGGCCUGGGAAUAGCCCAGACCUUCACCCAAUUGAAAAUCUAUGGAGCCGACUAAAGAAACGUGUUAGUCAGAAGUGACCCAGCAAUAAAACCCAGUUACUAAAAGACUUGGUUCACUCCAUGGGAAGAUGUUGUAAGGCCGUCAUUCAUGCUAAAGGUUACUCAAUUAAGUAUUAAGUGACAUGGGGAUCAUUUUUGUAUAUCUCGUUUUUUCUAUGGUAAUAAUUUUUGUAUAUCUCAUUUUUUUUCUACGUGUUUCACUUUCCUUCUUUAUACUAUAACUGCUAUUCUAAUAGUAAAUCCUUCAUCAAAGUUAUUGCAUUACAUUCUUCAUUAAAUUAUCUUUCCAUUGAUAUAUAAUUUUAUGGUACUACUCAAAAAAAAAGUGAUGUUAUUAGCUAGUUUUAGAAAAUACACUUUUCCCAAAAGGUUUCCACAAUUUUGGCCACUACAGUAGGGCAAAACCUUGGUCCUUUGUAGGUAUGUGGACUUCAGUUCCCAGAAUUCCAUAUGAUGAGAAUUACAGGAGCUGAAUCCCCAACCUCUCGAUAUUCCCGAAAAAUGGGAACAUGCUGGCU